This 253-nucleotide ribosomal RNA is filed under the name uncultured bacterium. RNAcentral describes it as "partial 16S ribosomal RNA". It matches the Rfam family "Bacterial small subunit ribosomal RNA", at positions 524 to 776 of the family's 1533-position model. The record is from RNAcentral. RNAcentral also lists the same sequence under 1 other name.
UACGUAGGGGGCUAGCGUUGUCCGGAAUCAUUGGGCGUAAAGAGCGUGUAGGCGGUUCGGUAAGUCCGCUGUGAAAGUCGGGGGCUCAACCCUCGAAUGCCGGUGGAUACUGUCGGGCUAGAGUACGGAAGAGGCGAGUGGAAUUCCUGGUGUAGCGGUGAAAUGCGCAGAUAUCAGGAGGAACACCAAUUGCGAAGGCAGCUCGCUGGGACGUUACUGACGCUGAGACGCGAAAGCGUGGGGAGCAAACAGG